UACACGUAGAAUGCUUACUUGCUUCAUAUUACAAAUAUACCCUACGGAAAAGGGGUAAAAAAAAGUGGGAUUUCGGCCACUUCCUGUGCGUUUACCUGUUAGAUUUUAAUAUAUUUAUUCGCUUUUCCCUUAAUUGAUUUUAAGAAGCAGAGCAGUAGAUCUGGGGAACCCUCUGACAUGUAGAGUCGUAGCCCCCAUCGAUAGCCCCCCCAUAGGGUCUCUAGUAGCCGUGUACACAACCGCUGGUGAGGAAAUAUCUUCAAAGUAACAAUGAAUUUCACAGAAUUAUUUUUUUGCCAUUAAAUAUAUUUUCAAUUAGUUUGGACACCAAGGUCUUCGUGGUUCAGCACCAGCGAAGGGCUGAGAAGUUCUAAGACCCCCGGAGAUGUCUUUGUAGCCCGUGCUGCUCGUCCUGUAGCAUCUCCAGUCUUUCUGUCUUAUGGCUCCUUGGGCCUGUAAUGAGAUUUUGCGCGUAAAGCACAGAGGGGUUUCGAGCAGAUAUUACACGCGGUCACUGUGCACUUUAAGAUCUGCUUGAGCUCUAGAAAGUUCUAGGUGCAAAGAGUUAUAUACUGUACAGAGAGAGAUAUCUAUUAGUGCGGCUAGAGGCUUAUCAAAGGAAUUUAAUUGCCCCCCGUCGCUAGUGAGGAUUCCUGAUUGGAGAAUCUAUACAUCCGGUCAGUCCCGCCAUCAGAAUCUAUACAUCCGGUCAGUCCCGCCAUCAGGGGUACGAUUAGUACCCAUGUACGAGCUCUGGCCUCCUGGACUGUCACGGGGCCCCCUAGUGGUCCCUUUGCGGCCAGCUACCUAUGUCUGGCCUCUCGCAGGCUUUGGGGAGCCUUCCUGGUGGCCCCUUUUCGGACUUUGGGGCCUACUGGUUCCACUGUGAGCCUUAGAGCCUGGUGGCCCUAAUGUGAGCAUGGGCGGGCAGUAGGAGGAGCAUGAGGCGGGGCAGUGGGAGGAGCAUGGGGUACAACGCCGAUUUCCGACGGCGGCCCUUAAUCCGGCUAAUACACAAAAGGGGGGUAGACUUUAACGCUUAAUAACUCGCGCCAGGAAGGCAUCGGUGACCUUUCCAAUUUCCAUAAAGGUUAAAGUAGCAAAAGACAUCUCGUAAUUUAAAUCUAUGUCACCCGUCUAGGUCACGGUGCAAAUAAUCAAAAAAAAAAAAGGAAAGUGUCAAAAAAAACCAACACACGUCCUUGUACAUAAAGUUUGAUACAAAUGUGAAUAAAAAAAACAACUAGUCUUAUCAGUAGAACAGCCGCACUUCCACAUAUUAACAUUAUUAGUUUAAUUAUCUUGUAAAUUAUUUAAUUUCAACAAGUUCUGUUAUAAUUUAUUCAUAAAAACCGUAUGUGAUCUUUUUACUAUUUAUUUAAAUUGUUACGUUAAUUUAUUCAUGUUUGGCUUAUUUUAUCUGGACACACGAUAAUAGGGAGGAAAGACAAAAUAUUAAAAAAAUAAAUAAAUAACCUUUUUUGACAAUAAAUUAUAUUCCACUGGGAAAAAAAAUGUUAUCUACAGCUGAUAGUUUUGAUGAAACCUAGUUAUUUUUUAUAAAUUUUUGUUAUUUAUUCUUUUAAACAGCGGGAAUUUUUUUAAAAUAUAUUUUAUAAAGGAGGAGUUUUGAUAUUUUUUGUUUCUUUUUAUUUUAUUGGGGUAGGUGAAAAAAAAAUAUUUUUGUUUCUGUUUAAUUUUUUUUUUUCUUACAUUUUUUGUGCAAAUCUUUGGUGCUGGAAAUGCCGGUGGUGAAAUUUACGCAAAAUCACCAUAGGCUUUUCUGUCCCCAAAAUUGGGAUAUACUAUGUUUCAGGCACUGAUGACAGUAUAUUAAAAAAAAAUGCUGUAUUUAUUUAAUAAUUAUUUAAGUAAAAUGAACUUGUGAAAACAUUGUAUAUUUAUUUUGUCCUGUUCGUGAGUCUGUUACGUGAUUGUUUACGUGAAGAAAUCCUGUUAAUAUUUAAAAUUAAAAAAAAAAAUUAAAAAAUAAAAAGUAAAAAAAGGUUGCUUUGAAGGCUGAUGCGGACUAGCUGUUACGUGCUAAUCUCUCAGAUACUGUGAUUCCGGCCUCAGGGAAUAUACAAAACCAACCUGACAACACUUCAGAAAUAAAAUUCAAAUUCUACUUGUGAA
Spea bombifrons (plains spadefoot toad) is the source of this 2136-nucleotide long non-coding RNA. RefSeq lists it as uncharacterized. The transcript has 2 exons. The record is from RefSeq and is a predicted model, not a curated record. Lineage: Eukaryota; Metazoa; Chordata; Amphibia; Anura; Pelobatidae.